ACUUGUCUAACUCAGUUGGUAAAAUACAAGGCUCUUAACCUUGUGGUCGUGGGUUCAAGCUCCACGGUGGGCG
Molecule: non-coding RNA, 73 nt
Organism: Zea mays
Lineage: Eukaryota; Viridiplantae; Streptophyta; Magnoliopsida; Poales; Poaceae
Source: Rfam